GAUGAACGCUGGCGGCGUGCCUAAUACAUGCAAGUCGAGCGAACAGACGAGGAUCUUGCUCCUCUGACGUUAGCGGCGGACGGGUGAGUAACACGUGGAUAACCUACCUAUAAGACUGGGAUAACUUCGGGAAACCGGAGCUAAUACCGGAUAAUAUAUUGAACCGCAUGGUUCAAUAGUGAAUGUCGGUUUUGCUGUCACUUAUAGCUGGAUCCGCGCCGCAUUAGCUAGUUGGUAAGGUAACGGCUUACCAAGGCAACGAUGCGUAGCCGACCGGAGAGAGUGAUCGGCCACACUGGAAGUGAGACAGGGACCAGACUACUAAGGGAGGGAGCAGAAGGGAAUCUGACGCAAUGGGCGAAAGCCUGGCGGAGCGACGCCGAGUGAGUGAUGAAGGUCUUCGGAUCGUAAAACUCUGUUAUUAGGGAAGAACAAAUGUGUAAGUAACUAAGCACGUCUUGACGGUACCUAAUCAGAAAGCCCCGGCUAACUACGUG
This 497-nucleotide ribosomal RNA is filed under the name uncultured bacterium. RNAcentral's name for it is "partial 16S ribosomal RNA". It matches the Rfam family "Bacterial small subunit ribosomal RNA", at positions 28 to 507 of the family's 1533-position model. The record is from RNAcentral.